GACGAACGCUGGCGGCGUGCUUAACACAUGCAAGUCGAGCGGUAAGGCCCUUUCGGGGGUACACGAGCGGCGAACGGGUGAGUAACACGUGGGUGACCUGCCCUCAGCUCUGGGAUAAGCCUGGGAAACUGGGUCUAAUACUGGAUAUGACUCCACGGUGCAUGUCGUGGGGUGGAAAGCCUUGUGCGGCUGAGGAUGGGCCCGCGGCCUAUCAGCUUGUUGGUGGGGUGAUGGCCUACCAAGGCGACGACGGGUAGCCGGCCUGAGAGGGCGACCGGCCACACUGGGACUGAGACACGGCCCAGACUCCUACGGGAGGCAGCAGUGGGGAAUCUUACGCAAUGGGCGAAAGCCUGACGCAGCGACGCCGCGUGAGGGAUGAC
RNAcentral lists this ribosomal RNA (383 nucleotides) under uncultured bacterium. Its description in RNAcentral is "bacterial SSU rRNA". It matches the Rfam family "Bacterial small subunit ribosomal RNA", at positions 28 to 412 of the family's 1533-position model. The record is from RNAcentral.